RNA transcript from Sinocyclocheilus grahami, 1025 nucleotides. It is a transcript of the gene named single-stranded DNA-binding protein 2-like, with no coding region annotated. The record is from RefSeq and is a predicted model, not a curated record. The transcript is spliced from 4 exons. NCBI's taxonomy places the organism in Eukaryota, Metazoa, Chordata, Actinopteri, Cypriniformes, Cyprinidae.
GAGGGGGGGAAUCUCUAUAAUGAAGACAGCGCGCGGACAGACUUUUAACAAGCGGCGGAUACGCUCUGUUCCUCGGAUGCUGUGUUGUCUCUGACAGCGCUUGUAGUUCGUGCAAGAAAGUUGUCGGAAUUUCUAGCGUCUAAUUAACGCGACACGCCGCCUUUAGUAAACGUAUAGCACGCGCAGAAGUUAAGAGAUGCGAAGAAUAAACUUCAUAUGUGGACUAUCGAUAAAAAGAGUACAUUUCUGCAUCAGUAAAUAUUUAUUUAUGCAUGCAAAGUUGCUAUAUAGCUCAUUUGAAGGAUUUCUACGUCUCAUUUUUGUAUUGGAAUAAGGCUAGCGCUCUACGUGUACGAGUACUUGUUACAUGUAGGAGCCCAGAAGUCGGCACAGACCUUCCUGUCAGAGAUAAGAUGGGAGAAGAACAUAACGUUAGGAGAACCUCCAGGAUUCUUACAUUCAUGGUGGUGUGUAUUCUGGGAUUUAUAUUGUGCGGCACCUGAAAGGAGAGAAACCUGUGAGCAUUCCAGUGAAGCCAAGGCAUUCCACGACUACGUAAGUUACUCUCACAGUGCAUGGAUGGAUGAAUGGUGUGGCGUAGUAGUUAAAGCGCAGAGCUGGGACAGAUGGGUGGAUGGAAUGCUAGAAAGUUUGAACGUUAGAAAGAUAGAUACAUGGAUAGAUGAUAAAAUGCUAGAAAGAUGGAUGGAGUGAUGGGUGAAUGAUAGCUGGAUGGAUAGAUGAUAAAAUGCUAGAAAGAUGGAUGGAUGGAAUGCUAGAAAGAUAGAGAGAUGGACGGAUGAUAGAUGGGUAGACAGACACUAGAAAGAUGAAUGGAUGGAUAGAUGGAAUGCUAGAAAGAUGAAUGAAUGAUGGAUGAUGGAUGAGUUGAUGGGUGGAUAGAUGGAUAGAACAUGAGAACGAUAGAACACUAGAAUGUUAGAUUGCUGAUGGAUGGAUAGAAUGCUAAAAAGAUAGAGAGAUGGAUGAAUGAUAGAUGGGUAGAUAUAUAGAUAGAUAUGCUA